GCCGCCCAGGCAGCCCGCAGGAAGGAGCGCGUCCUCUGCCUGUUUGACGUGGACGGGACCCUCACGCCGGCUCGCCAGCUAGGUCAAGUGAUCUUUCUGCCUUGGCCUUGCAAAGUGUUGGGAUUACAGACCUGAGCCACGGUGCCCAACCUGUCUAAUUUUUGGUGUCUAAGCUUUGUACUGCUUCAGAUCCAGAAAAUUGACCCUGAGGUGGCCACCUUCCUGCAGAAGCUGCGAAGUAGAGUGCAGAUCGGUGUGGUGGGCGGCUCUGACUACUGUAAGAUCGCUGAGCAGCUGGGUGACGGGGAUGAAGUCAUUGAGAAGUUUGAUUAUGUGUUUGCCGAGAACGGGACGGUGCAGUAUAAGCAUGGACGACUGCUCUCCAAGCAGACCAUCCAGAACCACCUGGGGGAGGAGCUGCUGCAGGACUUGAUCAACUUCUGCCUCAGCUACAUGGCCCUGCUCAGGCUGCCCAAGAAGCGUGGAACCUUCAUCGAGUUCCGGAAUGGCAUGCUGAACAUCUCGCCCAUUGGCCGGAGCUGCACCCUGGAGGAGAGG
RNAcentral lists this small RNA (558 nucleotides) under Pongo abelii (Sumatran orangutan). Its description in RNAcentral is "processed transcript". The record is from RNAcentral. Lineage: Eukaryota; Metazoa; Chordata; Mammalia; Primates; Hominidae.